UAGUAACGGCGAGUGAGGCGGGAAGAGCUCAAGAUAAAAAUUCUCACUUUUUAACUCAAAGUGCAGAAAAUGUGAUCUUGCGAUUUAGUACUAGAUUUGACCCGAGCAUAACGAAAGUCUGUUGGAACGCAGCACCGGAGAAGGUUAUAGUCCUGUUCAUUGUUAUCUCUUUAAGGGUUUGGUCAUACAGUCUGAAUUCAUCGAGUCGUGUUGCUUGGGAGUGCAGCACAAAUUGGGAGGUACAGAUCUUCUAAAGCUAAAUAUUGGCGAGAGACCGAUAGCGAACAAGUACCGUGAGGGAAAGAUGAAAUAGCACCUGGAAACGGGAGUGAAAUCAGAGCUUGAAAUUGUUAAGAGGUAAAAGCCGGGGAGACUUUCUCAUUUUUUUAUAUUGCUUUCUUUUUGGAUGUCGUAAGGCUUACCAGAAAGGUUAUAAAGCCGCCAAUGCAGUUUAUCUUUGCAUGGUGAUAUCGAUAGUGCGCCAAGGUAGUUUCCACCGCAGCAGCUCGCUGAUUUUGGUGUACUCAUAACUCAUAUAAGGCGCAUUAUCAUCUAAGGUUUCACGGGAUAAAUUGUGUGGAUAAAACCACAUAGCGUAGGGCUACUGUUGCGUGGUGCUGUUUGUGAGUUGCGGGUGAGGGGUUUCUGACCCACCGCCUCUUCUUGCAAGUAUUACACCAUGUGCUGAGGUUCCGGGCUAAUC
Molecule: ribosomal RNA, 703 nt
Filed under: uncultured fungus
Lineage: Eukaryota; Fungi
Description: eukaryotic LSU rRNA
Rfam family: Eukaryotic large subunit ribosomal RNA
Source: RNAcentral